CCUACGGGGGGCAGCAGUGGGGGAUAUUGCACAAUGGGGGAAACCCUGAUGCAGCGACGCCGCGUGGGUGAAGAAGUAUUUCGGUAUGUAAAGCCCUAUCAGCAGGGAAGAAAGAAGACGGUACCUGACUAAGAAGCCCCGGCUAACUACGUGCCAGCAGCCGCGGUAAUACGUAGGGGGCGAGCGUUACCCGGAUUCACUGGGUGUAAAGGGAGCGUAGACGGCCGUGCAAGCCAGGAGUGAAAGCCCGGGGCCCAACCCCGGGACUGCUCUUGGAACUGUGCGGCUGGAGUGCGGGAGGGGGAGGCGGAAUUCCUGGUGUAGCGGUGAAAUGCGUAGAUAUCAGGAGGAACACCGGCGGCGAAGGCGGCCUGCUGGACCGCGACUGACGUUGAGGCUCGAAAGCGUGGGGAGCGAACAGGAUUAGAUACCCUAGUAGUC
Molecule: ribosomal RNA, 441 nt
Filed under: uncultured bacterium
Lineage: Bacteria
Description: partial 16S ribosomal RNA
Rfam family: Bacterial small subunit ribosomal RNA
Source: RNAcentral